Molecule: long non-coding RNA, 237 nt
Filed under: Brassica rapa (field mustard)
Lineage: Eukaryota; Viridiplantae; Streptophyta; Magnoliopsida; Brassicales; Brassicaceae
Description: long non-coding RNA (BRAP_LNC004612)
Source: RNAcentral
GACCAUCACUUCCUCUCCAUCUAUGAAAACUUUUCUUUCUUUAGCCACAACCACCACCAUCACCAUCACACAACCACAAUAUCUACUGAUACAAAAGCUACCGUUUCCUUCAUAUCUAUGAUCGUUGCUUCUUCUGUAACUACUACCAUAGUCACUACCACCAUAAUCACCAUCAUCGCCAAUGCCAUAAUUACCAUCACUAUAACAACGUGACACGUGAUCUUUAUGUGUCAUCAC